CUUUGCUUCCUCUUUGGAGUUCUCAGGUUUCAUCUGGACAUUGAAAAUUUUGUGUGCAAGAUCAUAAACCAAGUUGGUUGUAGUUGUACUAUCUGUCAUAGGUCGUGUUAAUUAUGCAAUGAAGAUGAUUGUGCAUGGCCAAGAUCCUGAUGUUUCUCGAUGGGGUCUCUAUACCCUAAUAGACGUUUGUGCACUUCCAAGUUCUGGUCCAUGUAACAGUGUUACUCAGUAUGAUAUAGAUGAUUGUCAAGUUGGGUACGUCGUAGAAGGUUAUAAUGAAGCAGGACACACAAAUAAUGUAGAGAAUGAUGCGGUUAUAGCACAUGCUCUUCAAGAGGAACUUUCUCAAAUUGCUGCUGCAGAAGCAUCUGGGCUUCACAAACCUGGACAAGAAUCUAUUCUUGAACAGGCCUGGCUUGCCUCUCCAGGAAAAUGCAAUGGUUAUGAGGACCAGAAUGAUCAUCAUAGAAAAAACAAGAUGGAUGAUGCUGAAUGCAGCAAAAAGGAGGCACAUGAUUUUACCAAGUGUGAAAGUGAAGAAUGUGAUGAUAUCCUGAAUUCUUUUUCAUAUCCUAAUGCUGGAGAAGAAUCCAUUCGGAUGGAAGAGGGAUCACAUUCCCUAGAAAUAGCAGAUGAGUCUACUCUUGAUGGUGAAGUGGGUAUGAGACUAAAUCAGAUGGUUCCUGUGC
This 689-nucleotide unclassified non-coding RNA is filed under the name Hevea brasiliensis (rubber tree). Lineage: Eukaryota; Viridiplantae; Streptophyta; Magnoliopsida; Malpighiales; Euphorbiaceae. The record is from RNAcentral.